GCUGGGAUAGCUCUGUUGGUAGAGCACGAGACUCCUAAUCUCAUAGUUGUGGGUUCAAGCCCCAUGUUGGACA
Podarcis lilfordi (Lilford's wall lizard) is the source of this 73-nucleotide non-coding RNA. NCBI's taxonomy places the organism in Eukaryota, Metazoa, Chordata, Lepidosauria, Squamata, Lacertidae. The record is from the annotation of a GenBank genome assembly.